Molecule: long non-coding RNA, 342 nt
Organism: Hyaena hyaena (striped hyena)
Lineage: Eukaryota; Metazoa; Chordata; Mammalia; Carnivora; Hyaenidae
Exons: 3
Source: RefSeq, a predicted model, not a curated record
CUGAGACCCGGGAGCCCCGAGACUGGCUCUCUGCCCUGGCGCCGCCUGCUGCACCUAGCUCUACCAGGUCCUUGAAGUCUGGGUCGAUGAGGUCGGAGGGCAGGUCUCCAUCGUCGUUGGCCGCGUCUCUGUCCGCCCCCAGGGAGAUGAGGAGAAAGCACUUUCCUUUGAUGUGAAGAUUGCCUAUUCUGGUGUUGUGGAAAGUUCUGUCUGCCCUCCCUGCUCAGGGGAUCAAAUGAAAGAACCCUGGAUGAAGAUGCCACCCAGGGCCCUUCCCGAGUGGCCAGGCCUCGGGCUAGACACAGACCAGCGCAAGCCUGUCGGCAAGCCCAUCCUACUGAG